UGGGGGAUAUUGCACAAUGGGCGAAAGCCUGAUGCAGCGACGCCGCGUGGGGGAUGAGGCUUUCGGGUUGUAAACCUCUUUCGCUAUCGAACAAGGCCCGCUUAGGGUGGGUUGAGGGUAGGUGGAGAAGAAGCGCCGGCUAACUACGUGCCAGCAGCCGCGGUAAUACGUAGGGCGCGAGCGUUGUCCGGAAUUAUUGGGCGUAAAGGGCUUGUAGGCGGCUUGUUGCGCCUGCUGUGAAAACGCGGGGCUUAACUUCGCGCGUGCAGUGGGUACGGGCAGGCUUGAGUGUGGUAGGGGUGACUGGAAUUCCAGGUGUAGCGGUGGAAUGCGCAGAUAUCUGGAGGAACACCGAUGGCGAAGGCAGGUCACUGGGCCAUUACUGACGCUGAGGAGCGAAAGCAUGGGUAGCGAACAGG
Molecule: ribosomal RNA, 419 nt
Filed under: bacterium
Lineage: Bacteria
Description: partial 16S ribosomal RNA
Rfam family: Bacterial small subunit ribosomal RNA
Source: RNAcentral